RNAcentral lists this long non-coding RNA (5351 nucleotides) under Homo sapiens (human). RNAcentral's name for it is "HSALNT0021634". Lineage: Eukaryota; Metazoa; Chordata; Mammalia; Primates; Hominidae. The record is from RNAcentral.
CGUCAUCAGCACCCAGAUAUUGCUGGAGGCAAAGGAUGCCAAGAUGGGAAAGCCACAUAAUGGAAGGAUCCUGGAUUUCAGAGCUGUCACUUGGAGGAGGGGCACCCAGUGAAGGUGUCUUAUCUAACCCACACCAUAUCUUCAUGAAGUGGCCAUAUGGAUUUGAUCCCUAUCCUUCAGAGGUGCUCAGCCUAAGGGAACACGGAUAGUAGAUUAAGCACUGACCAGAGCCAGCCUUGACAAUGUGCUGAUGGCAACCUAGAACAUAAGCAGAGGAGUAUACAGGACAAGAACUUGAUGGUCUCGGGAAAAUGGACAACAUGACUCAGGUGAAAAAGAUUGAUCAUCAGAUGUUUCUUAUGUAUCAACCUGAUAUUUAAAUCCAUGAAGGACAGAGACGACAAAGGCAGGUGGAAUAGAUAGAGAAGAGAUUCAAGGUCUGAGCUCUACAUUACUCAAACUGUUAGAGAUUAGGAAGAAGAGGAAGACCUGGCAAAAGAAUGUCCUGGGAUGUAGAAAGAAAACCAGAAGCUUGUGUUCUCUGGAAACCAAAUGAAGAAAGGGCUUCCAGAAGGACAGACAAAGUGUAGUGUGUCAAAGGCUCCUGAGCAAUCAGAGGAGAGCACAAAGGGGCUCACAGGACUUUGGUAUCUGGAUCACCCAGUGACACUUCCUGAUCACGAGAAACUGUCAGACCAACAGGGGCACUUUCUGAAACCAGCAGUUCUUCAGUGCCCAAAUGCAACCUUGAUGGUUUGAUUUUGGAGGAUGGCAAUUCAUUAACAGCACUCCCCAGUGAUAAAUAUGAAAACCAAUAAAACCCCCCACCCAAGGCAAUCUCUCCCAGCUCCUCGCUUUGAGUAAAGAGAAACCAGGAGAAGGCAGUCCUAGGGCAGUCUCCGGGCCAGCUUUCCCUAAUAAGAAGGCAGAGCUCCUCUUCACCCAGACUUCAGACCUAUAGAGGCAGCCUGGGGUCCCGGGAUGCCCUUGCACUCAGAGAUGUCCCCAGAGUCCUAGGGAAAUGGAGGAUAACUAGGAGGAAGCUGUUCAUGGCUGGCGAUGAGGUCUAUACCUUCUUGUCCGUCUCAGUGCUGUCUGCUAUUGAAUUUUUGUGCAGAUCACAUUAACUUAAAGCCAGUUCUCAAGAAGCUCCCCCUGCCGCCGGCAUAUCCACCAGUUGCUCCCCUUUCCUGCCAUUAAUCAGGGUCUGCUAGUUAGAGAACAAAUUCCUAUUUGUCCAAACAGUUGCCAACACCCCCACCCCAAGGUAGUUAAAUGAGGAUGAAUGGGUCAUUCUUAUUAAAAAAUGACUUAAAUUUCUCAAAUUCUAUUUAUGUUUCUUUUACAUCCCAAUUUUCUAUAGAUUUAGUGACUCCAAAUGAUAAGGUCUCAAGCUCAUAAUAAUUUAUCCCUUGGGUAACACACAAGGCUUGGUGGUAUUUCAGUAAUAUUCAUGACAACAGCAGCUGUCGUGCUAAUAAGGACUGAUGUCACCAGAGCACUUUCUAUGUGCCAAGCAUGGUGCACAACACUUUACAUACAUUAUGUCAUUUAAUUUUCACAAAACCUCACAGAGGUAAAUAUUAUUAUCUUCCUCUGCAUAUAAGGAAAUGAAUGUUCGGAAAGAUUAAGUCAACUCACUGAGGUCCCAUCAGUGCUCUUUCAUAUGCCUCUGUUGCAGUCUCAUUGAACUGCUGAAAUCAGAAAAACCUGGAGACCUUGUUAACCUUCAGAUUCCUGGGCCCCAUCUUAGAUGCAGGGAGUCAGACUUCCUGGGAGUGUGGCCCUGGAAUUUUCAUUUGUAAACACAUUCCCCAAGAGACCUGUAUGCACACUAAAGUGGGAGAAUUCACGAUCUCUGGCUUUUGUGAUGUUUUAAACGCACUAUAUAAUUUCAGUAGCAAAAGAAUUGGGCUUUGGGAAGGGAGUGUGUGGUGAACCCUGAAAGCUGAAUGGACUUCCUUCCUGUGGAGGAGCAGUGGGAGAAACUGGAGGCAGAGAGCUGUGUUUCAUUCCUUGAUUGAGCCUUUGUGAGUUAUUUAAUCUCUUUCAGUCUCUAUUUUUUUCAUUUGUAAACCAGGAAGGAUACUUGUAUUUUCCAGGUGGUUGUGAGGUGUGAAAGAGAUGAGAGUAGAACAAAAUUUUAAAAGUUGAAAGCACUCAACAAAUGUAUUUGGUAUUAAUCAUGGGUUUCCCUGGGGCCGAGGAAGCCACCAGCCACCGCAGGCCUGUACACAAUGCCAGCCACCAUGUAUGGAUACGGAGGAGGCAAAAGGACUAGCGAACACUCCCAGGGACUGGAUGUCUUGAAUAUCUGUCCAACUUUCUUGGGAGGGGCCAUUUCUUCUGUAACUCAAAGGAAUUUAUUAUUUUUCAGCCAGGGAGGCAUGCUUUCUAUCUACUGCUAGUACUCCCAGACCAAGCUGUUUCAGUGGGACUGAGGUGUGACUUCUGCCUCGGUUUCAUCCAUCUGUGCAGGGAAGAGAAAAAUGCCUGCACCUCCACGGUCACACCCUCUGUUGGAACCACCUCCUUAAGCCAGAAUUAUUGAAUGUUCUCUAUGUGCCAGAAUUAUUAUUAUCUCAUUUGAUUCUCACAACAAUGCCAUGAAGUCUAUACAGACAUACCUUGGAAAUACAGCGGGUUUGGUUCCAGACCACCGCAAUAAAGCUAAUACCGCAAUAAAAUGGGUCACACGAAUUUUUUGGAUUAGGCUUCGGCUUAAGGGAAUGUUGUGGCUGGUUUGAUGUUUUAUCCAGACCGCUAACACUUUCUCCCUAUCAGCAAUGAGGCUGUUUUGCUUUCUUAUCAUUCCUGUGUUCACUGGAGUAGCACUUUUAAUUUCCUUCAAGAACUUUUCCUUUGCAUUCAUAACUUGGCUAACUGUUUGGCACAAGAGGCCUGCCUAGCUUUUGGCCUAUCUAAGCUUUUGACUUGCCUUCCUCACUGAGCUUAAUCAUCUCUAGCCUUGGAUUUAACGUGGAAAAUGUGUGACCCUUCCUUUCACUUGAACACUUGGAAGCUAUUGUAGGGUUAUUAACUGGCCUAAUUCAAUAUUAUUGUGUCUCAGGGAACAGGGAGGCCCAGAGAGAGAGAGACGGGAAAACAGAAAGUCAGUGGGGCAGGCAGAACACACACGUUUAUUUAUUAAGUUUGCUGUCAUAUGUUGGUGCAGUUCAUGCUGCCCCAAAACAAUUACAAUAACAAGAUCAAAGAUUCCUGGUCAUAGAUUGCCAUAACAGAUACAGUAAUCACGAAAAAGUUUGAGAUAUUGUGAGAAUUACGCAGAUAUUGUGAGAAAUAUGACCCAGAGACAAGAAGCGAGCACAUGCCGUUAGAAAAAUGGCACCAACAGACUUGCUUGCUGCAGGGUUACACAUACCUUCAAUUUGUAAAAAAAAAAAACUGUAAUAUCUGCAAAACGCAAUAAAGAAAAGUGUAAUAAAAUGCAGUCUGCCUGAACUUCAAUUAUUCCCAUUUUAUAGAAGAGGAAAUAGAUGCAGGGAGUUUGAUCUGCCUGAACUAGUAAAUGGUAGAACUCUGGGACUAACAUUCCUAUCCUCUAUGCUACAUUCCUAGGAAAGAACGCUCAGACAGGGUUGGACUGAGAGUGUGUUAAGCUUUGCACUGUUUUGAGCCCUCUGAAGGAGUGUCCGUAUUUGAAAGCUGGCCUCCUUCCUUUCACUGGCCCUCCACAGUGUGGCCUAAGUUAUUCAAUUAGGAAGGGAAAUAAUUGGCAGUGGAGAAUGCCUCUAGCAGUGGUAAUUACCUCCAGUGCCUUGUAGGAAUAGUCAAGCUACAUUUCAGUUUAUGCUGUAAAACCUUAAUUAUAAUAUAAACAGCUGCCCUUCAGCCCAGUGGGGCAGCCUUCCCCCGCCUUCCUUCUCUGGCCUCUGAAUGGCCCUGCCUCCUGAAUGGUCAGGGAGGUCCAGGGACGGAAGGAGACCUGGGAGGAGGGGAGCCGAUGACUAUGCGUGCGUUGGGGUUUGGAAGACUAAGCUGGAGGGAGCCACUGCCAGGGUCCCAUCUUCAAGUGAUGAAGCCAAAGGCAGCAUCCCCAUUCUUGGUACCACUCACACUGAGUCUCUUGGGGGAGCAGCCUCCAGCCAUUAGCAGUCAGCCCAGUGCCAUUAGGCUAGGAUAGGGUUUAGCAGGCUAUGGUAUCAUUUCAGGGUAACAUCUCUUUCUAUUUACUCCCCUAUAAGGGAGAACAGAGUCUUCCCUUCUAGAUCCAGACUUCCUGGCCAUGUAGGAGCCCUGUUGAGUGCCUGGUGCACUCUAGGUAGUAUGCGAGGCAUGGUUGCAAGGGUUCCCCAUUUCAACUUCACAGCACUUGGAUACACAGAAAAUUAACAUCCUCAUUUGACUAUUGAGGAAAAUGAGACUUUGAAAGUUUAAACGGAGAUAAGGCUUGGGAGGCAGACAGCCCUGUAAGUGACUUAAGUUCAGGAAGGAGAAGGACACUCAAUAUUUUUGUUCAGAGCACUGGGAAGGAGAGAGAGGGAUCAGUCACCAUCGGGCAUUUGAGAAGGUCCAGGAACAGGGGGCUGGUGAGCAGAGGGGGGAAUAACACCAGAGGGGCUGAAAUUGCUGAUUGCUGGGUUCACAGAUCUACCCACGAGCGGCCCAGGUACCCCAUGAGCGGCUGCUCUGUGUCAUCUGACCACUGGAUUGUAACCUGGGCUGAAAGAAUCAGAAGUCAGUGUGGCGAGGCAGGAGUCCUCAGAUGGUCAGAGCUGACUCUUCAACUCUUAAGGGCAAAAUGGAAAAUGUGAGCUUGUUGGUGGUCUUCGAAACACAGUAAGCAAUCCAUGCCCCUGAAGAGCAGGGAUAAUUAUAGGCAUGCCCUUGUUUUAUUGUGCUUUGCAGAUAUUGCAUGUUUUUACAAAUUGAAGAUUUAUGGCAACUCUGCAUACAGCAAAUCUAUUGAUGCCAUCUUUUUCCAAUAUCACAUGCUCACUCUGUGUCUCUGUCUCACAUUUUGGUAGUUCUCCCAAUAUUUCACACCUUAUUAUUAUUAUUAUAUCUGUUAUGAUGAUCUGUGGUCAGGGAUCUUUGAGGUUACUAUUGUAGUUGUUUUGAGGUGCCAUGAACUGCACCCAUGUAAGACAGCGAACAUAAUCAAUAAAUGUUGUGUGUUCUGACUGCUCCACCAACCGACUGUUUCCCUGUCUCUUUCUCUCUCCUCUGGCUCCCUAUUCCCUGAGGCACAAUCAUAUUGAAAUUAGGCCAAAUAAUAACCCUACAAUGGCUUCUAAAGGUUCAAGUAAAAGGAAGAGUCACAUCUCUUACUCUAAAUCAAAAGCUAGAAAUGAUUAAGCUUAGUGAGGAAGGCAUGUGGAAAGCUGAGA